Molecule: ribosomal RNA, 385 nt
Filed under: uncultured bacterium
Lineage: Bacteria
Description: bacterial SSU rRNA
Rfam family: Bacterial small subunit ribosomal RNA
Source: RNAcentral
GACGAACGCUUGCGGCGUGCCUAAGAAAUGCAAGUCGAACGGGGGUAGCAAUACCCUAGUGGCGAACGGUCGCGUAACACGUAAGAAACCUGCCUUGAAGCGGGGGACAACAGUCCGAAAGGACUGCUAAUACCGCAUGUGGUCAACGAGGGGCAUCCCUUGUUGUCUAAAGAUUUAUCACUUCAAGAUGGUCUUGCGGCCUAUCAGCUAGUUGGUGGGGUAACGGCCUACCAAGGCGACGACGGGUAGCUGGUCUGAGAGGACGAUCAGCCGGAUUGGGACUGAGAUACGGCCCAGACUCCUACGGGGGGCAGCAAUUAGGAAUCUUGCACAAUGGGCGAAAGCCUGAUGCAGCGACGCCGCGUGAAGGAUGAAGGUUCUCGGA